RNAcentral lists this long non-coding RNA (3365 nucleotides) under Octopus vulgaris (common octopus). Lineage: Eukaryota; Metazoa; Mollusca; Cephalopoda; Octopoda; Octopodidae. The record is from RNAcentral.
ACACCGACUGCUGCUGCUGCUGGCGGUGGCGGAGAGGGCUUUCAUCUUUCAGUCCCGGAUCUUCCUGAAACUAAAACCCUGCUCACUAACACUUGGACGCAAUUCUGCAGAAAUGAACUGAAUACCAUAUUAUCUCUCUCUUAAACAAGGUGGGUAUUAAUUGUUAUUAAUGAAUAAUAUGAAAGUGGUAAACAAAUUGUUUUAUAUAUUCAUUGAUGUUUGCUUAUUAUUAGAAUUACUUUAAAAAUUAUUGUUAACAUUGUUUUUUUACUAUUAUUGGAUUCCAGAAAAUUAAAAAGAAAGUUAAUUUAAAGUGAAAGAGUGGACAGAAACGAAUCUAAGCGCCAAAUUGAUUCAUUCGGUGGACCAUGCAUCAACCUGCCACCUCUAGAGGAUGUUCGUCCCCUCGAUCAGUCGAUGAAUCAUCUGUAACUAAAUUCAUAUUUUUCUCUCUACUUCUUAAUUCUAAUAUAUAUUUGAUUUUUUAGUUUGUUGUUCUUUCACAAAAAAAAAAAAGAAAAAGAAAACUGUCAUUGUUAACACUAUUUUUUUUUUCCUUCUCAUUUCUGAUGUAAUUUCAAUUGAUUAAAUAUUCCUUUUAGCUCAUUAUAUUAAAUGUAUAAGCUAGCACUUUACUGUAUUUUGUUCAUGCAGAUAACAUCCCCGGGAACAUUUUCCACAGUAAUCACACGUGUUUAAAGGUAGAUCUAAUAUUGAAUGUGUGUGUGUAUGUAUAUAUAUAAUUAUGUUCAGUUUAUAAUGAGGCUUUUAUAAUUCAACUAAUUAAAGCCCGUAUAAUUAAUAUAUUACGUGGCUAGACUAUAUUGAAGCGUAAAACCAAGUUUAUUAUUGUUUAAUGCAAUGAAGCUUUCUCCUCUUAAACUGUUUUAUAUAUCUAUUGAAAACUUAAAAGAAAUGAAAUCUUAGUUUCCCUCCUAACCUCUACCUGUCAGACAAACCAGAGAAGCUCACCUAUUUAACCUAAAAUUUCUCGAUUGAUUUAUCGAUUUCUGUCAUAUAACUCGCAUAUAACUUUUCUCUCUCUCUCUCAUCUCAUUUAAACACGUUUCAUUCAUCUCUACCAUAAUUUCUUUUACAAAUAAUUAAAUAUGCGUGUGUGUGUAAAAGUGAUUUUAUCUAAUUGUAGAUUUAGAAACAAGAACCCUAACAAUCUUGAGACCGCAUUAAUUAUUUCUUUAAGCCGGAGUGUUAAUGAAUUUGUUAAAUUAUUAACUGGACAAAGCAACAAAUUAUUGUUUGAAAAGAGAUUUCGUUUAUGUUGGAUUAUGAUGACCAAUUAUCUUGAAAUUAGAUCGGAAUUUUCCUAAAGGUUUAUUCAUUCAUUGAGGCAAAAUAGGGAAGCCUUAAGUGUGUGCGUGUAAUAUACAUAUUUAUAAGUAGUUGAGUCGUAGUGACCAAUGGUUUCACGUACACCGGACAUAGUAAACGAAUCCGGACUAGUCACUUAUCAGAAUUUUGUUAAUUUCUAUUUAAAGAAUCAGACUUUAAAAAUAUUAAAAAAAAAAAUUUUUUUUUGAUGUAACAUCGGUCUAUGACCGUCUUAGCCAUGUUUGUGUGUGUGUUGUAAAGUUAAUAAAAAGUUUAAAUUUUAUUUAAGGUAUUUUUCCGACAUCGGUAAAAGUAUUUUUGUCUGUAAACCGAGAAAAUUGGUUUCAAGUUUUCGGAAUCGCUAAUUUCUAAAUAUUUGUGGAAAUACUUUAUCUCACAAAUGUCAGUGCAGAUCGAUAUGAAAUUUCAUCAUCAAUAUCCGUUGAUGAUUGAUAGAUAUCUACUAUGUAACGGAAGCAUAUUCACUUAAAGUUUGGAUAUUCACUCGUUAUUUGACGCUUUGUUUUCAUUGCUCAAUAUAAAUAUCAGCUGUUAUAAUAUUGAAAAUGGGAUUGUGUUGUGAAGUUUAAAGCUGGGCCCUGGACAGGGGAAAAAAACCUAUCAAAUGCUGUUACCUACUUGUUGGAACAGUUUUAAGUGGCAACGUCUGUAGGAAUGGUAAUCGCAGAGAAUUUAUGACAAUAGUUACACUGAAAAGAUGCUUCUCUUUUUUUCUCCAUUCUUCAGCUGAUAACACUAUUCUCUCCUGAUGUGAAUGGACGUUCAUUGCUCCACCUGUAUCAUCAGCCGCCAGUUUCAUUAACGGCUGACGUUCAAGGUCAGCUUGACCAUUUCUUUCCCAGCCCUACCACUCCAAUGGAGGGACGGGUGGCAGUCCUCCAUGUGGUCCCUCGACAUGCUAGAAAUAGGAGUUAAAUCUCUCAGAUUACACACCACUGUCUAAAGAAAAAACAAUUUGAUCAUGAUGGGGUCGGUGGGUUAAAUGAAUUGUCAUGGUUGGAAUGUCUUGCAGAGUUUUGAAUCCUACAUAUUCCUCUAGUUUGUCUGUCUCUGUCUGUCUUUCUUUCUGUCUAUCUAUCUGUCUUUCUUUCUGUCUAUCUAUCUACUUGUCUUUCUGUCUGUCUGUCUAUCUACUUGUCUUUCUGUCUAUCUAUCUAUCUAUCUAUCUAUCUAUCUAUCUAUCUAUCUAUCUAUCUAUCUAUCUGUCUCUCUGUCUGUCUGUCUGUCUCUCUCUUUCUCUCAAUCUAUAGCUAAUUAUUUCUGUGUCUACCUAUAUAAAGAAGAGACUUCUGAUUUUUUUUCUUCUUAUAUGCAAUGUUUUGAACAUCGGAGAUUCAGAAUCUAAAACAAAAUAUCUAAAUUUGAAUGUCUUCCAAGACUGACAAUAAUACUAACGCGGUGUGUCCUGUAAUAACGUGGCAUCCGGAUUAACCAUUUUGAUGCCGAUGAGAGAGAAUAAUCUGGCCACCGACUUCGGUUUCCAUUUUCUAUUAAAUAAUUAAAGCAUUGUAGUCGUUUCGUGAAUCCUCUCAGUGUAAUAUUAUAGCACCAAUAAUACAGACUCUUUCUGGGUAUAUUAUGAAAAAAUCCGGAUCAACCGGCGGCAUGGUGUCCUCAUAUUUUGUCGAAACAUGUGAGUCAGUAUUAUCAUGUGGCGGACUUGUCGCUAACUACAUGUUUUAAAAUCAUAUUGUUGGGUCUUCUUCACUUCAUGCUUUUUCAUAAUUUUUUUUAUCGUGUCCACUAAUGAGAUUGCUUUCAUUAAUUAUAGAAAGUGAAAUCAUUUGUACUAUUACUACAUCCAUUAUAUUAAUUACUGGAAAAAAGGGGCGAGCUGGCAGGCUCGUUAGCACGCCGGACUAAAAUGCUUAGCGGCAUUUCGUCCGUCGUUGCAUUCCGAGUUCAAAUUCCGUUGAGGUCGAUUUUGCCUUUCCAUCCUUUCGGAGUUGAUGAAAUUUGUACCAGUUGUACACUAGGGGCCGAUAUAAUCGGCUAAACCCUUCCAUCCCUCCCUU